Molecule: long non-coding RNA, 653 nt
Filed under: Phoenix dactylifera (date palm)
Lineage: Eukaryota; Viridiplantae; Streptophyta; Magnoliopsida; Arecales; Arecaceae
Description: long non-coding RNA (PDAC_LNC009631)
Source: RNAcentral
GGAUCCAAACUUCUUUGGGGACCCUCUCUAAGGCAUAGGAGGACGAGGUCACAGCAUUCUUACUAACAAAGGGGCAACAAGCAACAGAAAAACGUAGUGACCACGGUGGACCAAUUGUAUCGAUUAACAAAAUGCAUCAUGGCAGGUUUAUAUGCGUAUCUUUUUGCCCUUAUAAAUCAACUGCAUAGAUAAAGAGAAUAAGAGUGCCAUGGCUGAAGUACUUGAUAUUAUUUCUUAUCAUCUACCAUCUCAUAUAUUUCUCUCUUAUUUCUAUCUAUCUCUGUCAUGGUGUUAAUGAUUUCAAGUUUGAUCUAUUUUCCGUCUACCUAAUGUAGUUCGCAGGUUGUAACAGAUUAUUAGGCUUCUCUGAUCUUUUUUUCAUUUAACAUAACCAUGUAAAAAUAUAAAACAAGUGGUCAAUAACUUAUUAAGGGCAACAUGGUCUUCUGCCCUUCGUAAUUCUCACCCUUGUUACUGUAAUAAAGUUGAGGACACUUCCGAAGUUUCAUUUUGUCUGCAUUUUUAUGCAGAAAAUAAUUAUUUUAUGGAGAAAAUAUUAAAUAAGAAUGUUUUCUGUGGAAAUCUUUUAGAACACUUCAUGAUGGAAUGAUUUACAAAUCUAUAAGAUCCCCCCCUUCCCCUCUCUCUCUCUC